UACGUAGGGGGCAAGCGUUGUCCGGAAUCAUUGGGCGUAAAGGGCGCGUAGGCGGAUAUUUAAGUCUGGUGUGAAAGACCAGGGCUCAACCCUGGGGUUGCACCGGAAACUGGAUAUCUUGAGGACAGGAGAGGAAAGUGGAAUUCCACGUGUAGCGGUGAAAUGCGUAGAUAUGUGGAGGAACACCAGUGGCGAAGGCGACUUUCUGGACUGUAACUGACGCUGAGGCGCGAAAGCGUGGGGAGCAAACAGG
This 253-nucleotide ribosomal RNA is filed under the name uncultured bacterium. Its description in RNAcentral is "partial 16S ribosomal RNA". It matches the Rfam family "Bacterial small subunit ribosomal RNA", at positions 524 to 776 of the family's 1533-position model. The record is from RNAcentral.